GUCACGUUGGGGGCCGAGGGGGCGGUAGUGCGGGGAGGCCGAGGGUUAGUGUGAAUUGCCGGGGGUAAAGCGUGCGCAAGCGGUUUGUUAAGCGAGAUGUGAAAGCCCUGGGCUCAACCUAGGAAUAGCAUUUCGAACUGGCGAACUAGAGUCUUGUAGAGGGGGGUAGGAUUCCAGGUGUAGCGGUGAAAUGCGUAGAGAUCUGGAGGAAUACCGGUGGCGAAGGCGGCCCCCUGGACAAAGACUGACGCUCAUGCACGAAAGCGUGGGGAGCAAACAGGAUUAGAUACCCGAGUAGUC
Molecule: ribosomal RNA, 300 nt
Filed under: uncultured Bifidobacterium sp.
Lineage: Bacteria; Bacillati; Actinomycetota; Actinomycetes; Bifidobacteriales; Bifidobacteriaceae
Description: bacterial SSU rRNA
Rfam family: Bacterial small subunit ribosomal RNA (bases 53-300)
Source: RNAcentral